UCCCGGUUGAUCCUGCCAGAGGUCACUGCUAUCGGGGCUCGAUUAAGCCAUGCGAGUCGAGAGGGUUCGGCCCUCGGCGUACUGCUCAGUAACACGUGGAUAACCUGCCCUAGGGAAGGGGAUAACCCCGGGAAACUGGGGAUAAUACCCUAUAGAUUACAGAUGCUGGAAUGCCCUGUAAUCCAAAGUUCCGACGCCCUAGGAUGGAUCUGCGGCCGAUUAGGUUGUUGUUGGGGUAAUGGCCCAACAAGCCCGUAAUCGGUACGGGUUGUGGGAGCAAGAGCCCGAAGUUGGAUUCUGAGACACGAAUCCAGGCCCUACGGGGCGCAGCAGGCGCGAAAACUUUACAAUGCGGGCAACCGUGAUAAGGGAACCUCGAGUGCCUGUAAAUGCAGGCUGUUCAGGUGCCUAAAACACACCUGAAGA
RNAcentral lists this ribosomal RNA (426 nucleotides) under uncultured Methanoculleus sp. Its description in RNAcentral is "bacterial SSU rRNA". It matches the Rfam family "Archaeal small subunit ribosomal RNA", at positions 1 to 436 of the family's 1478-position model. Lineage: Archaea; Methanobacteriati; Methanobacteriota; Methanomicrobia; Methanomicrobiales; Methanomicrobiaceae. The record is from RNAcentral.